RNAcentral lists this ribosomal RNA (253 nucleotides) under uncultured bacterium. Its description in RNAcentral is "partial 16S ribosomal RNA". It matches the Rfam family "Bacterial small subunit ribosomal RNA", at positions 524 to 776 of the family's 1533-position model. The record is from RNAcentral.
UACAGAGGUCCCAAGCGUUGUUCGGAUUCACUGGGCGUAAAGGGUGCGUAGGUGGCGAGGUAAGUCGGAUGUGAAAGCUCGGAGCUCAACUCCGAAAUGGCAUUGGAAACUACCUGGCUUGGGGGUUGGAAGGGGGACUGGAAUUCUCGGUGUAGCAGUGAAAUGCGUAGAUAUCGAGAGGAACACCAGUGGCGAAGGCGAGUCCCUGGACAAUACCUGACACUGAGGCACGAAAGCUAGGGGAGCAAACAGG